Molecule: non-coding RNA, 1028 nt
Organism: Pelodiscus sinensis (Chinese soft-shelled turtle)
Lineage: Eukaryota; Metazoa; Chordata; Testudines; Trionychidae
Source: RefSeq, a predicted model, not a curated record
AACAUCCUCUGGCAAGGAGUUUCACAGUAUGUCCUCAUAAAAAUUCCAAGGCAUCGGGCAAGCCAAAAGCAAGCGCCAAACCAUGGAUGUUUAAUACCCAACCUACGUCAGCAAGAAACUUGCUCUGCAUCAACAAUCCACCUGAAAUACCUCAGGGAAAAGACAAAAUCUGUGGAAACAUGUUAUGGCAGACAGAAGCCACGUCGGAGAAGAGCUGCCACACAAAACAGAGCGCCGGAAGAGAGACACCACGUUCCAGAAGGUGCUGAUAUCACACAACGUAAGGGAAAAUGUCAAGGGGAAAAGCCUGCAGAUCUUACUCAAGCAAAAUUCACAUCGCAAACAAUUGCUGGUCCUUACGAGGUUGGAAGGAAUGCUCGGACGUGUACCAAACAUAACUUUAGUCACACACCCUUGGGAUAGAAACAUGCAGAGAAAACAAUGAAACAAGACUGUUUAUAAAGCCUUCAACACAUUAGCCCCGUGGCGAGGAGCCCAAAUUUCCAUGUACAGUCCUGAAUGGACGCGCGUGAGGUGAAACACAUGGAAAAUGUGGAGUGCCACAGGACACGCAGAUGCAGCCCCCCCUCAGACUUCUGAUGAGUCGGUUUGCUACGUUUGCAAGAAGAAACAGAAGAAAAAAAAAGACGUGCUAGCAAUGCAUGAAUCGUGCCUGUUCUUUAAGGGCGAAGGAGCUGACUUUCCAUGUCUCCGAGCCAUUAGCGCCGAGGUUGUUCCGAGCGGAUUAGCCAGCGCAUGGCGAAAAAGCCGCUCUGCCUGCCAGCUUUUGAAGCUGUUUUUGCGUUAGUCAGACUCUUUGCCAGUGAAGUCAUAUUGUGUCCUUUGUUUAUUAUAUUGAAACUUGAUAAAAGAAAAUGUCGGCGUCAGCGGGGGCUGGGGGGGAGGGGAAAUGGUUGCAGUGUGAAUUGAGUGUUCACGUCUGGCUUCCAGGAUGCUGCCAUGAGUAACGUCUGCAGCAUCACUGAGCGUCAUACGGUUAAACAAGGCGUUGUGCUGCAAACAUAACC